UGCAAGUCGACGAGAAGUCACUUCGGUGGCGAGUAAAGUGGCGCACGGGUGAGUAACGCGUGGGUAAUCUGCCCUUAGGUUUGGGACAACUCCGGGAAACUGGAGCUAAUACCAAAUAAGACUACGACGCCCUCGGGCGAUGUAGAAAAAGGUGGCCUCUUCUUGAAAGCUAUCGCCAAAGGAUGAGCCCGCGUUCCAUUAGCUUGUUGGUGGGGUAAAAGCCUACCAAGGCUCCGAUGGAUAGCUGGUCUGAGAGGAUGAUCAGCCACACUGGAACUGACACACGGUCCAGACUCCUACGGGAGGCAGCAGUCGGGAAUCUUGUCCAAUGGGGGAAACCCUGAUGCAGCCAUGCCGCGUGUGUGAAGAAGGCCUUCGGGUUGUAAAGCACUUUCAGUUGUGAGGAAAAGUUAGUAGUUAAUACCUACUAGCCGUGACGUUAACAACAGAAGAAGCACCGGCUAACUCCGUGCCAGCAGCCGCGGUAAUACGGAGGGUGCGAGCGUUAAUCGGAAUUACUGGGCGUAAAGCGCACGCAGGCGGUUUGUUAAGCUAGAUGUGAAAGCCCCGGGCUCAACCUGGGAUGGUCAUUUAGAACUGGCAGACUAGAGUCUUGGAGAGGGGAGUGGAAUUCCAGGUGUAGCGGUGAAAUGCGUA
This 657-nucleotide ribosomal RNA is filed under the name uncultured Alteromonadaceae bacterium. Its description in RNAcentral is "bacterial SSU rRNA". It matches the Rfam family "Bacterial small subunit ribosomal RNA", at positions 56 to 692 of the family's 1533-position model. Lineage: Bacteria; Pseudomonadati; Pseudomonadota; Gammaproteobacteria; Alteromonadales; Alteromonadaceae. The record is from RNAcentral.